UCUAUUUACCUAGUGCACUGGUUUAAAGAUGAACUAACAAACAUCACUCUGAAUACCUCUGGCAAUGGUAAUUAAAAUGUUUUACAGUGCGGAUUAGAAGAUAAUCCAACAUAAGACAAAAAGAAAAAAAAUCGUACAAAUACGCACGCAGACACAUGCAUACAUACACAAUACACACACACACACACACAGAGACAAAACCUCAUAUCACACAUAAACACGUGCAAAAAAAAAACGGAACGAAAACGAGGCCAACAAUGAGUAGCUUUGAUCUGUUAAAAAUAGCAACCAAAUCUCCCGUCAAACUACAGCAUACCUUCUUAAAAAAUGAAGGAACAAGUCAAUAAAAAGUGACCUCUCUGUGGUAGUACAAUCUGCCAAAAAUAGCAACUUAAUUCCUUUUGUGCUACAACAUGUUAUCUUCAAAUAGGAAGGAUAAAGACCACAAAGAGGACAGUCUACGUGGUAUUUUUUAAAAUAGAUAUAGCUAAGACUACAUCAUCUAACCAUGUCAUUUCGUUAUACAAGAUGUUCAGAUUUGAUUUAAGGGAGAUUUACCUGCUAUUUCUAACAGAUCAAGCAUUGCGUGUCUAAGGAUCACAUCUACUCGUGUAUGCGUAUGUGUUUCACUGUAGCGAAACGACAUGGAUUAGUUUCUAUGGAGAUUUGACAGCUAUUUCUAGCAGAGCAGACAUUGUGCAUGAAGGGAUUAAAUUAACGCGCGUGUCCCUUUGGUUGCUAUUCCGGAUCUUUACUGUUUGGCUCAUACUUUUUGAAAUUUAAAAAUUUACUGAAACACGAAAGAUUCGCUAUUUCUAACAGCUCGAACAGGACCACGCAGUCUCUCUCCCAUCCCCUUCUUUCUCCUACAUGGGACCCUAGUCACGCUGCUACCUUAAACAUAAGCGUUGCGCGAUGUUAAAGGGUUAGGUUACCUCGUGCUAGUCCUUAAAACAUGCGGACAAAGCCCGUUAACAAGCAAGCAAAAGACUGCUAUAUAUAGUAGCAAAAUCUCCCUCGAAUCAUACUCUACCGUCUUAUAUGUUAUAAAGAAACUCAUUAAUGCUGUUAUGUUUCUUCAAGUGUAUCACACAUUUAGACAU
This is a long non-coding RNA of Octopus sinensis (East Asian common octopus), 1103 nucleotides long. RefSeq lists it as uncharacterized. Lineage: Eukaryota; Metazoa; Mollusca; Cephalopoda; Octopoda; Octopodidae. The record is from RefSeq and is a predicted model, not a curated record. The transcript has 3 exons.